RNAcentral lists this ribosomal RNA (461 nucleotides) under uncultured bacterium. RNAcentral's name for it is "bacterial SSU rRNA". It matches the Rfam family "Bacterial small subunit ribosomal RNA", at positions 335 to 788 of the family's 1533-position model. The record is from RNAcentral.
ACUCCUACGGGAGGCAGCAGUGGGGAAUAUUGCACAAUGGGCGCAAGCCUGAUGCAGCCAUGCCGCGUGUAUGAAGAAGGCCUUCGGGUUGUAAAGUACUUUCAGCAGUGAGGAAGGCAGGUACGUUAAUAGCGUGCUUGUUUGACGUUAGCUGCAGAAGAAGCACCGGCUAACUCCGUGCCAGCAGCCGCGGUAAUACGGAGGGUGCGAGCGUUAAUCGGAAUUACUGGGCGUAAAGCGCAUGCAGGUGGUUGUUAAGUCAGAUGUGAAAGCCCGGGGCUCAACCUCGGAACUGCAUUUGAAACUGGCAGACUAGAGUACUGUAGAGGGGGGUAGAAUUUCAGGUGUAGCGGUGAAAUGCGUAGAGAUCUGAAGGAAUACCGGUGGCGAAGGCGGCCCCCUGGGACAGAUACUGACACUCAGAUGCGAAAGCGUGGGGAGCAAACAGGAUUAGAUACCCU